CCGCCUCCAGGUCGCCGGAGACCGCGGCCAGCGCCGCCGCCUGCGCGACGUUCGAGACGUUGGACGUGGC
This 70-nucleotide transfer RNA is filed under the name Streptomyces griseomycini. RNAcentral's name for it is "tRNA-Arg". RNAcentral also lists the same sequence under 2 other names. The record is from RNAcentral. Lineage: Bacteria; Bacillati; Actinomycetota; Actinomycetes; Kitasatosporales; Streptomycetaceae.